GAAAGAAGAAUAUUCUUUAUUUCUGUUGUAGAUUCCAAAUGUUAACCUACUGAAUUUUGAAAAACACACUUUUAUAUAUAGUAAAAUAUGACAAAAAUAUUGGGAAUUCAUAUAGGUUAAUAGAUGAGUAGAGCUAUUGUCCUUUUUGGAGCAUGGAAGCUCCAUGUUUCUAAGUCAUUUUCAAUCAAAAGGCUUCCAAAUCGAAGAUCAGGUCAGUCAGGCUUGAUUUAGGCUUCAUUUGGUUUGGUUAUAAGCAAGAACUGCCUAUUCCAGGGAUAGGUAUAAGUUCAGGUAUAAACCUAGAAUAGACCAAUUUUGCGUUUGGAUGAAAUUGCGUUGUUGUUCCAAAAAAUAAGAAAAAUAGCAUUGAAAUAUAUAAGAUGGAAUAAGAAGAAUAGUGGAUAGUUAUAAAUAAAAAAUAAUAAUAUUGCUCUUUAUAUUAUAUUAGAAUUUAAAUUUUUAAAUUUUAUAUUUAAAUUUUUAAAUUUAAAUACGUAACUUUGAAAUUUCAAAUUUUCAAAAUAUAUUAAUUUUUAAAUCUCAAAUUAAAAAAUUUAAAGUUUUAAAUUUUAAAUUUUAGAUUUAAAUUUAAGAUUAAAUCUAAAUUUUAAAAAUCUAAAAUAUCAAAUUAUCAAAUUUUAAAUUUAAAAAACUUAAAA
RNAcentral lists this long non-coding RNA (659 nucleotides) under Ananas comosus (pineapple). Its description in RNAcentral is "long non-coding RNA (ACOM_LNC005246)". The record is from RNAcentral. Lineage: Eukaryota; Viridiplantae; Streptophyta; Magnoliopsida; Poales; Bromeliaceae.